Molecule: ribosomal RNA, 582 nt
Filed under: Celeribacter halophilus
Lineage: Bacteria; Pseudomonadati; Pseudomonadota; Alphaproteobacteria; Rhodobacterales; Roseobacteraceae
Description: bacterial SSU rRNA
Rfam family: Bacterial small subunit ribosomal RNA
Source: RNAcentral
AACGUACCCUUCACUACGGAAUAGUCCCGGGAAACUGGGUUUAAUACCGUAUACGCCCUUCGGGGGAAAGAAUUUCGGUGAGGGAUCGGCCCGCGUUAGAUUAGUUAGUUGGUGGGGUAAUGGCCUACCAAGACUACGAUCUAUAGCUGGUUUGAGAGGAUGAUCAGCAACACUGGGACUGAGACACGGCCCAGACUCCUACGGGAGGCAGCAGUGGGGAAUCUUAGACAAUGGGGGCAACCCUGAUCUAGCGAUGCCGCGUGAGUGAUGAAGGCCUUAGGGUCGUAAAGCUCUUUCGCCUGUGAUGAUAAUGACAGUAGCAGGUAAAGAAACCCCGGCUAACUCCGUGCCAGCAGCCGCGGUAAUACGGAGGGGGUUAGCGUUGUUCGGAAUUACUGGGCGUAAAGCGCACGUAGGCGGAUUAGUCAGUCAGAGGUGAAAUCCCAGGGCUCAACCCUGGAACUGCCUUUGAUACUGCUAGUCUUGAGUUCGAGAGAGGUAAGUGGAAUUCCGAGUGUAGAGGUGAAAUUCGUAGAUAUUCGGAGGAACACCAGUGGCGAAGGCGGCUUACUGGCUCGAUAC